UAGAGUUUGAUCCUGGCUCAGGACGAACGCUGGCGGCGUGCCUAAUGCAUGCAAGUCGAGCGGGCUACAGUCUUCGGACUGUAGCUUAGCGGCGAACGGGUGAGUAACACGUAGGUAAUCUACCCUUCAGAGGAGGACAACCUCAGGAAACUGAGGCUAAACCUUCAUACGUUCACUGGUAGGGAUACUGGUGAAGAAAGAGUUACCUUAAAGGUAGCUGCUGAAGGAUGAGCCUGCGGCCCAUCAGGUAGUUGGUGAGGUAACGGCUCACCAAGCCGAAGACGGGUAACCGGUCUGAGAGGAUGUCCGGUCACACUGGGACUGAGACACGGCCCAGACUCCUACGGGAGGCAGCAGCAGGGAAUCUUGGGCAAUGGGCGAAAGCCUGACCCAGCGACGCCGCGUGGGGGAAGAAGUCCUUCGGGGCGUAAACUCCUGGACUGGGGGACGAGUAAGGACGGUACCCCAGUAGAAAGGGACGGCUAACUACGUGCCAGCCGCCGCGGUAAUUCA
This 513-nucleotide ribosomal RNA is filed under the name Peptococcaceae bacterium 3bG. RNAcentral's name for it is "bacterial SSU rRNA". It matches the Rfam family "Bacterial small subunit ribosomal RNA", at positions 1 to 527 of the family's 1533-position model. Lineage: Bacteria; Bacillati; Bacillota; Clostridia; Eubacteriales; Peptococcaceae. The record is from RNAcentral.